UACGGGGGGGGCAAGCGUUGUUCGGAAUUACUGGGCGUAAAGGGCGCGUAGGCGGUUGGAUAAGUCAGCUGUGAAAACCACGGGCUUAACUCGUGGCCUGCAGUUGAGACUGUCUGGCUUGAGUGUGGGAGAGGAGAGUGGAAUUCCUGGUGUAGCGGUGAAAUGCGUAGAUAUCUGGAGGAACACCGGUGGCGAAGGCGGCAUCCUGGACCAACAUUGACGCUGAGGAGCGAAAGCCAGGGGAGCAAACGGG
This 253-nucleotide ribosomal RNA is filed under the name uncultured bacterium. Its description in RNAcentral is "partial 16S ribosomal RNA". It matches the Rfam family "Bacterial small subunit ribosomal RNA", at positions 524 to 776 of the family's 1533-position model. The record is from RNAcentral.